Molecule: long non-coding RNA, 1371 nt
Organism: Mesocricetus auratus (golden hamster)
Lineage: Eukaryota; Metazoa; Chordata; Mammalia; Rodentia; Cricetidae
Exons: 6
Source: RefSeq, a predicted model, not a curated record
CUCACCAUCCAGCCUUGGCUUGGAGCUCACAGAGAUCCACCUGCCCUCUGCUUCCAGAGUGCGGGGAUUAGAGGUUGUGAGCCAACCGCCAUGCCCCACUCCUCAGGUGGGUUAGAGAGAUGACCGAGAGUUCCUCCCCAGAGAUCCACCGAGAAAAGACUGUUCCGGGCAGAGAGAACAGACAGAGUCCCAGAGGUGAGAUCCUUCCCCGAGGGUGGCAAGGACAGGAGAGCUUGGUCAGUUCCUGAUCAGUACCUGAGGAGGAGGAAACAGGAAGUGAACUAUCCCAGGGGGCGUGACUUGAGCAUAAAUGACCCCCCCCAAGCCCGCCUCCACAAUGACACACUUCCUCCAACAAGGACACACCUCCAGGAAGUGCCACUCCCUCUAUACCAAGCAUUCAAACCCGUGAGUCUACGGGGGCCAUGCCUACUCAAACCACCACAGGCCCUAUGUUGGGCCAAGCGAGGGCGGAAGAGGCCCUGAGGAGGGAGUCAUGGCCCGGGCAAUGUGGUGGAGAGGCUGAAGAGCUGGGCUGCGGGCUCUGCAGGAAGCUGGUCCUCAUGCUAAGACAGAGCCGGCGAGGAGCGGCGCAGAGCCGGCGAGGAGCGGCGCAGAGCCGGCGAGGAGCGGUGCAGAGCCGGCCAUCUGGCCUGGAGAAGUCUCACUGCUGGGAGAGCGUGGCUCCAUCCCAGCAACAGUAACCCGGGUCCUACGGAAGAACGCCACGGACUCGCUCACCGUGUGCUGGGGCCAUCCCCUGUCACAGCAACCCUGAAAGCUCUGAGCUCUUGUCCCCAUUCUCCAGGCCAGGAGACCCCGCGAGUGUUGGGAAAGCACCAGGGCACUCCUCUGAAGAGCGGGAAAUCGAUGGAUGCCGAAGAGCGGGUUACAAAAGCCACAAGUGCAGAAGGAGGAAUGCAAACCUCCCGGCCCGCAUCCCUCAGUGACCUUCCUGUUAGCACAUACGGGCUGUGUGGCCACAUCCUCUGUGUCUGACCUGUCACCCCCACGGAGACGCCCGGCGGCUGCACAGUGACCGGCCGGUCCUGUUGGAUGGAGAAGGCACAGCUUGCACAGCCCUCUCUACCUCUCAGCUACGGGACCUCCGCGGGCGGCCUGUGCUGAGAUCUCUCAGGCUUCUCUCUGUGCACUGCGUCCCCAUGGCUGCCUCUCUCUGUUUGUGGCCAGGAUUCCAAGAGAAGGGUCCAUCCACGGAGCAAGGGCACACCACAGACCCUCGGUCAACCCUGUCCAUCACUGUGUUUUGUUUCUAUUGCUAUAGUAGUAGCUCUGUAAUAGUCUUCUCUGAGUAAACUGCCUGCUCAGCUUCCCUUAAAGAAGGCUGUAGCAAGCGCUGGUGCCAAGAAA